Molecule: long non-coding RNA, 284 nt
Filed under: Nicotiana benthamiana
Lineage: Eukaryota; Viridiplantae; Streptophyta; Magnoliopsida; Solanales; Solanaceae
Description: long non-coding RNA (NBEN_LNC017065)
Source: RNAcentral
UAAUGCAUUUUCUAUAAUCUAGUAAAUCAUGCAGGACAAUGUUUACUCUUCUCACUGCAACUUCUCCUCUAAACAGUAAGUCAGAACGUGGAACGAGGGGCGGGGGGGACAACUCACGCUUCUAACAUUUGUGUCAAACUAAGUCAGUAAAAGGGAUGGUAUAGUACGUUAAAAGUCUCUUCUAUAACAUGAUACAUUAUUGUAGGACAACAAAAUAUACAUGGACAAUCUGUCCGUAAUAAAUGGAGUAGUUGUCUUCACGUGCUUGCAUGUCUUUGUGUAAU